CAGCUCAGAGAUCUCGGCCUCUGCCUUCUUUCUUUUCUCCUCCAAGGCAGCCCUCAGGUCUGCCGAGGUUUGUCCCUCCUUCUGCAGCGUCUCUUGGAGACUCGUGACUUCGAUGAUCUUCUCUUUGAGGCGGGCGACCUUGGCCAGGCGACCUUCCUCCGCCUAGACUGCUUCCCUCUUGGCGUUAUUCAUCGCCUCGAUGUUGGCGAUGAGCUGGUGUCCAAUCUGCAAAAGCGACCAGUG
This 243-nucleotide long non-coding RNA is filed under the name Elaeis guineensis (African oil palm). RNAcentral's name for it is "long non-coding RNA (EGUI_LNC065189)". Lineage: Eukaryota; Viridiplantae; Streptophyta; Magnoliopsida; Arecales; Arecaceae. The record is from RNAcentral.